GUUAAAAAGCUCGUAGUUGGAUCUCGGCGGGCAGGGGGUGGUUCGCUCUUCAGCGCUACUGCCCCGCUUUGCCCGUGUGAUUGGCGGAGGUUUCGGGGUGCUCUUCGUUGAGUGACUCGGAGCGCCGUCAGGUUUACUUUGAAAAAAUUAGAGUGCUCAAAGCAGGCUUUUCACGCUUGAAUAUUCGUGCAUGGAAUAAUGGAAUAGGAACUCGUUUCUAUUUUGUUGGUUUUCGGAAAUCGAGUUAAUGAUUAACAGGGACAAUUGGGGGCAUUAGUAUUCAGACGACAGAGGUGAAAUUCUUGGACCGUCUGAAGACUGACUACUGCGAAAGCAUUUGCCAAGAGUGUUUUCAUUAAUCAAGAACGAAAGUUAGAGGUUCGAAGGCGAUCAGAUACCGCCCUAGUUCUAACCAUAAACGAUGCCAGCUAGCGAUCUGCCGAGUUUUUUUUGUAGGCUCCGCAGGAAGCUUUCGGGAAACCAAAGCUUUUGGGUUCCGGGGGAAGUAUGGUUGCAAAGCUGAAACUUAAAGGAAUUGACGGAAGGGCACCACCAGGAGUGGAGCCUGCGGCUUAAUUUGACUCAACACGGGAAAUCUCACCAGGCCCGGACACUGGAAGGAUUGACAGAUUGAUAGCUCUUUCUUGAUUUUAUGGGUGGUGGUGCAUGGCCGUUCUUAGUUGGUGGAGUGAUUUGUCUGGUUAAUUCCGAUAACGAACGAGACUCUGUCCUGCUAAAUAGUUGGGUCGUCCUUCGUGCGAUCCAAGUUCUUCUUAGAGGGACUGGCUGCGUCUAGCAGCACGAGAUUGAGCAAUAACAG
This 820-nucleotide ribosomal RNA is filed under the name uncultured eukaryote. RNAcentral describes it as "SSU rRNA". It matches the Rfam family "Eukaryotic small subunit ribosomal RNA", at positions 618 to 1459 of the family's 1831-position model. The record is from RNAcentral.